Molecule: long non-coding RNA, 1851 nt
Filed under: Olea europaea subsp. europaea
Lineage: Eukaryota; Viridiplantae; Streptophyta; Magnoliopsida; Lamiales; Oleaceae
Source: RNAcentral
GAAUGAUGUGGCAAUUUUGAUAAAAAGGACCAAAACGGUGGAUUUCUUUCUGGCCCACAUCCAACAUUUUAUCCCCAAAUCGGAUGAACCCUACAGGCGACAAAAAUCAUCUUCUCUCCACCCCAACAUCAUCUGUCUUCUCCAAAUCUGUCAGACAACGCAACGACCCCGAUGGUAUACAUCUGAUCUAGUUACUUGGGUUUUCAUUUCGCAGACAAUCGAUCAUUUUUUUUUGUCAUUGGCAGCUGUGAGCACCAUCACUUGAAGCGAAAUCUGUAGUAAACCUGUUGGUGGGUAUGUUUAAGAAAUGGUAUGGAGUUAGAACCUUUGGUAUCUAUGAUUAAAAAAUAUUUGGUAAGUCGAAUUAACAAAUCUGCAGCUUGUACGCUACUAAAUCGUUUCCAGGUGUGCUUUGGACUUUGUUUUUAGAACACUUAUUUGAGCUUCUGUUUAAACAAUGUGUAUGAAUUUGGAGUUAAAACCAUUUAUUUGCAUUUCACUUGCAAAUAUUUAAGCAACAAUAAUAGUCUUAUUUGUAAUAUAUAUGGGAUUGGAUAUAUAUGACCAUUGUCAUUACAUUUUAUUCGUUUCCAGCCCUGUUAUGAAAUAUUUUAAGCAAAGAUGAAAAAUCAUUGCUUCUUUCCUACUGUGCAAUGUAUUAGAAGUUUAAAGUUCCCAAAACUUGCUUUACAAAGAACAUGUAUUUUGCAAAUCCUUUUCUAUGACCAUAUGGUUGCACACAAGAUCAGCAAAAGAUGGCUAUGUGGAGUCAGCUUCAACAAGGAAGGAACAGGACAAGAGUAGCAUAUUUUUACAUGUUUUUAUGAACUCAUUUUUUUCUAUGUAUUUGGCAUGAAGCUAAACUGAAGAGUGUGUGAUUGGCAUGAAGUUGCACACAUUUUUUCAAGAGAGAUGAGUGGUUAAGGAAGUCCAUGAGUGUGUGACAGUGGUUGGUGGUUGUUACUAGUAUUAGUCGUUUUAUUUGAAAUUUGAUAAUUAUUUGGAGUGAUACAAUUCAAGUGCCAGGCUAUUGUUACUUAGUUUCUUAUAUACAUGUACCAAUUACGAAGUAGUUGUUAAUUUCCAUUUCACUUGCUUGAACAUUAUGUUAUCGAAAUUUUGCAAACAUUCAAUUGAAUUAUUUAUUAUGUCCUAUUGAUAUUCUGUCUACGUGGUUGAAUUGUAGCUUACUAUAGCUGAAAAAAAUCAUGGAAUAUGUCAUAGUUGUAGACGUAAUGGUCAGUCACUUCUUUGUGAAUUGCCCAAAUAAAUGUCUAUGCCUAUGGUGUAAACAUGCAUUUGUGUAGUGUUUUCAAGUGGAGAAGGAUAGUAAGAACAAAGGUAAAUUGUUCAAUUGUUGCACUAUGAACUGCGAAUAUUGGGAGUGGGUUAAAGAAGGUGAAACGAGCGGUGAAUCAAGUGCCGUUGGCAUUACCUCCACUAAACUUGUGGUGCCAAAAUUAGUUUGAGAUAUCUCUGGCAUGUUCGAAACCAGGUGUCGGCUAAUUCAUGAAAAAGAUGUGGAGAUUUUUGUAAAUAUGACAAUACACAAAGGACAAGCGAUUGUGGAAGGGGAUAAUAAAUGAACGUAGUGCGUCUAAUUUGUAGUUGUUAAUGUAAUAAAAUUGUUCUUUAACUUAUAUGGAGACAUCAUUUCGAUGCCUACUAUGUGGUUCACAUAGCGUGAAAUUUGUGUAGUGCUAUUUAACUGUUGUGGGGACUUCAUUUUGAUGCCUACUAUAUGGUUAAUGUAAUGUGAAAUCCAUGUAGUAAUUUUAUGGAAUUUUUGAAUUGCAGUUAAGCUGGAUUCUUUUACAUGUAAAAUUCGGGAUUUUUGUUUUCACAUCUAUA